RNAcentral lists this long non-coding RNA (231 nucleotides) under Lathyrus oleraceus (garden pea). RNAcentral describes it as "Pisum sativum (pea) long non-coding RNA (PSAT_LNC011479)". Lineage: Eukaryota; Viridiplantae; Streptophyta; Magnoliopsida; Fabales; Fabaceae. The record is from RNAcentral.
GUGGUAGCAUUUGGAAGAAUUUCAUGAUCCAACUCAAUUCAACAUUGCAUGGCUUAAUGCAACACUUUUAGCAUGAUCUAUGCACGAUUUUGGACCUUUUGAAAAUGAUUAUUUGGGCUUUGUACAUGCCUAUGCUAGCUCAUGAAGGAACUUGCUAUUUUUGAACAUUCAAAUGGAAUUGUGUGGAAAUCAAUUGCCAAGGCUAUAAAUAGAAGUGCAUUGUGAUCAGAA